Triticum urartu is the source of this 750-nucleotide RNA transcript. RefSeq lists it as uncharacterized. NCBI's taxonomy places the organism in Eukaryota, Viridiplantae, Streptophyta, Magnoliopsida, Poales, Poaceae. The record is from RefSeq and is a predicted model, not a curated record.
GCCCACCCCACCUCCCCCCGAUCCUGAUCCCACCAGCUCCCGCACCUCCCGCCCGCCGCCCCUUCCCCAACGGGUGGCAUCGGCGCCGCCGCCACCUAGCCCCCAACCGGAGACACCGCGGAAGCCCCGCCAUGCCUCAACCGGAGACACCGCGGCCCCAACAUCCCGCCGCCGCCCCCAGCUUUCCCUGCCGUCAAUACGCGUCGCCGUCACGUUGUGCCACCACGCGCCGCCGGAGGUGGAGGAAGCUUCCUCCCCCACAGCGCUAAAACCGUCCACCCCAUCCCCUACCGCUCCCUCCGGUGAGUGAUGAACCUGCAACUAGAGGAGGGCUCGGCCUGCAGCGAGAGGAGGGCACGACCUACAGCCGGGUGGCCACAUCCGGCAGAGAAGAUAGAUGCAGCUGGGUGAUGGAUCUUGCACGCGCCCCUCCGGCCAGGAGGCUGCCAAGCUGCUGGGUCGUUGGCCACCAGCAGAGCAGCAGCAGGUCAUCUUUCCCCACCUCCCCGUACAGAACGCUGACGAUGACAAGCUUCUCAGCCCCUCUGCCCUCCACCAGUAUUCCUUGUAGAAAUCGAGCGUUGGUCCCAACAAGCUAGGAGAGGUUCAUGUAUUUUUGCUCACGAGGGAAUUUUACCUAAGUUGACGCAAAAAAGUUCGUUUUGUAAUUCAUGGAAGUUUGAUGCCUAUGCUUUUGAGACUGAAACUGUUUUCAUUUCAUGAAAGCCAAAAAAAUUUGUGGAUGUGUUG